CCUACGGGAGGCAGCAGUGGGGAAUUUUGGACAAUGGGGGCAACCCUGAUCCAGCAAUGCCGCGUGAGUGAAGAAGGCCUUCGGGUUGUAAAGCUCUUUUGUCAGGGAAGAAACAGCAGCUCUAACACAGUCUGCGAAUGACGGUACCUGAAGAAUGAGCACCGGCUAACUACGUGCCAGCAGCCGCGGUAAUACGUAGGGUGCGAGCGUUAAUCGGAAUUACUGGGCGUAAAGCGUGCGCAGGCGGUUAUACAAGACAGGCGUGAAAUCCCCGGGCUUAACCUGGGAAUGGCGUCUGUGACUGUAUAGCUAGAGUGUGUCAGAGGGGGGUGGAAUUCCACGUGUAGCAGUGAAAUGCGUAGAUAUGUGGAGGAACACCAAUGGCGAAGGCAGCCCCCUGGGAUAACACUGACGCUCAUGCACGAAAGCGUGGGGAGCAAACAGGAUUAGAUACCCUGGUAGUCCACGCCCUAAACGAUGCUGACUAGUUGUUGGGAAUUUACAUUCUCAGUAACGUAGCUAACGCGUGAAGUCAGCCGCCUGGGGAGUACGGUCGCAAGAUUAAAACUCAAAUGAAUUGACGG
This 584-nucleotide ribosomal RNA is filed under the name uncultured bacterium. RNAcentral's name for it is "bacterial SSU rRNA". It matches the Rfam family "Bacterial small subunit ribosomal RNA", at positions 338 to 916 of the family's 1533-position model. The record is from RNAcentral.